RNAcentral lists this ribosomal RNA (546 nucleotides) under Triticum aestivum (bread wheat). RNAcentral's name for it is "partial small subunit ribosomal RNA". The record is from RNAcentral. Lineage: Eukaryota; Viridiplantae; Streptophyta; Magnoliopsida; Poales; Poaceae.
AUGUGGAAGCUAUGUGUUCCAAAAAAUAUUGGUGGGAUGGGAUUUCGUGAUCUGCAUAGUUUCAAUCUAGCGAUGCUUGCAAAACAAGUUUGGCGACUUAUCGAAUACCCAGAUUCUAUUUGUGCCCAGAUUUUGAAAGCAAAGUACUACCCCCAUUGUGAGAUUCUCAAAGGAGGACCAAAGAAUGGGUGCUCCUUCACGUGGCAAGGCCUUGUUGCCGGCAUCCAAACAUUCAAACGAGGCUACAUUUGGCGAAUUGGAAAUGGUGAGAGUGUUAAUAUUUGGAUGGGCCCUUGGGCCCCAUCUCGUCCUAGCAGGAUGGUUAUCGCUCGACGAGGUCAUCAACUAUUAACAAAUGUUAGUGAACUCAGUAACCCCAUUAAUGGCGGAUGGGAUGAGAAGUUGGUUACUGCUAUGUUUGGUUUCAUUGAUGCACGUAGGAUUAUGCAAAUCCCACUAAAUAUAGGUGCCUUUGAUGAUUUCAUCGCAUGGAAUUCAACACAGAAUGGAAUCUUCUCCCUCCGCAUGGCCUACCAUUUAGAAUAG